GUCUGAGCCCCAGCCUCAGGCCCAGAGCUCACGCUCCUCUGUACUCUGCUUUCUCGAACGGGAAAGGUGCCCAGCGUGGUGCGGGCGCCCUGGGCGCGCACUGCUCCCUGUACAACCACCAUCACCCUCGCUUCUCUGCCGUUGAAUCGCAGGGCAGGGGCUGCUCUGCCUUGCCGACCUUUAAGGGCACCCAGACCGGCGUCAGCCACGUUCUCGGAGCUGCUGGUACUUUUCCUUGAAAUAAACAAGCCACAACAAAGCACUUCUAUUAACGAAUGGAAGGAGCCUCGGGGAGCCCGCAGAAGACGGCGGAAGGAAGCACCCGUGUCUCUCUCGUUCAGGUUCGGCAGCGAGGGAAGGCGGCCUCAGCGGCUGGGAAGGGCAGAGCCUGAACCCAAAAUUCGGAAAAAGCAGAAGCAGUCACUUGAAAAUGAGGCGGGGGAGGGGGGCGUGGGGAAGAACCCUCAGAACCGAUUACAUCAUAACGUGAGCAAAUUCACAAAAUAAACAGUCACCGUUUUCAAAUUA
Herpailurus yagouaroundi (jaguarundi) is the source of this 528-nucleotide long non-coding RNA. RefSeq lists it as uncharacterized. Lineage: Eukaryota; Metazoa; Chordata; Mammalia; Carnivora; Felidae. The record is from RefSeq and is a predicted model, not a curated record. The transcript has 2 exons.